This is a long non-coding RNA of Peromyscus leucopus (white-footed mouse), 759 nucleotides long. RefSeq lists it as uncharacterized. The record is from RefSeq and is a predicted model, not a curated record. The transcript has 3 exons. Lineage: Eukaryota; Metazoa; Chordata; Mammalia; Rodentia; Cricetidae.
UACACUUCUCACAUCUGCCUUGGUUGUGCUCUGUCAGGCAUCCUCCUGGCCCUGAAUCUCUCUACGGACGGGAGGGAAGAAAACCUCAGUGUAAACCCGUGGACCACUUCUCUCUUCCACAUAGUGUCUGCCGGAGAUAAUACGUCUGCUUCUGGAGACUUCUGCUGGCAAUCCUCAAGUGAGAGCAACUUUACAAUGUCUGGAGACAUAUUGACACGAAGUUGGAACAGCAAAGGCGGCAUCACCUGGAAGCUAUGACAGUACUGCCACUGUGUCUACACCACACACGCCUCAGCUGCUGUGGAGACUCACACUAAUCAGAGAGCAUCGUCCUAUGUAGCCGUGUGUCUGACAUCUGUUAGGACCUCUGACUGGAUGCAAGUUCAGCCAAACACAACUGUCCUCCAUUCACAAACGGAAAACUCCCCGGACGGGUUCCCUGAGCAGCCAACUCCCGCCCGCCAGCAGUACAGGCCACACAAAGCACUUACUUGUUCCACGUAAUGAAAGUGGCUCUCUGCGUGGACAUGCCAAGACCAACAAUCUGACUCAUCUGUACUCCUGCAGCUAAAGGUAAAGACAGAUAAGACAUGUUAAAAGCCGGAGAAGUUGAACUGUGUAACAAUACGGUACAGAAUCUCUAACCAGGAUGUCUGAGCUUAAUAAGCAAAGUCUUCCUAAGAUGAAUUUUGCAUUAUUUUUACUUAAAAGGAAAAAAAGAUAUCAUAAUAAUAAUAAUAAUAAUAAUAAACACCCUUU